GUUGUAUGGUUAAGUGACUAAGCGUACACGGUGGAUGCCUUGGCAGUCAGAGGCGAUGAAGGACGUAGUAACUUGCGAUAAGCCCAGAUUAGGUAGUAACAACCAUUUGAGUCUGGGAUUUCCGAAUGGGGAAACCCACUUACAUAAGUAAGUAUC
Molecule: ribosomal RNA, 156 nt
Filed under: Vibrio parahaemolyticus
Lineage: Bacteria; Pseudomonadati; Pseudomonadota; Gammaproteobacteria; Vibrionales; Vibrionaceae
Description: partial 23S ribosomal RNA
Rfam family: Bacterial large subunit ribosomal RNA
Source: RNAcentral